RNAcentral lists this ribosomal RNA (439 nucleotides) under uncultured Chloroflexota bacterium. Its description in RNAcentral is "uncultured Chloroflexi bacterium partial 16S ribosomal RNA". It matches the Rfam family "Bacterial small subunit ribosomal RNA", at positions 338 to 794 of the family's 1533-position model. The record is from RNAcentral. Lineage: Bacteria; Bacillati; Chloroflexota.
CCUACGGGAGGCAGCAGCAGGGAAUUUUGGUCAAUGGGCGAAAGCCUGAACCAGCAACGCCGCGUGGGGGAUGAAGGCUCUCGGGUCGUAAACCCCUUUUGCCGGGGAAGAUAAUGACGGUACCCGGCGAAUAAGCCACGGCUAACUACGUGCCAGCAGCCGCGGUAAUACGUAGGUGGCAAGCGUUGUCCGGAUUUAUUGGGCGUAAAGCGCGCGCAGGCGGUCCGUUUAGUCCGGGGUGAAAUCUCUCGGCUCAACUGAGAGAGGUCUUCGGAUACUGGCGGACUGGAGGAGAGCAGGGGUGAGUGGAAUUCUCGGUGUAGGGGUGAAAUGCGUAGAUAUCGAGAGGACCGCCAGUGGCGAAGGCGGCUCACUGGGCUCCACCUGACGCUGAGGCGCGAAAGCGUGGGGAGCGAACGGGAUUAGAUACCUGGGUAGU